AAUUUAGUUGCUUAAAACAAUGACCAUUUUGUUAUGUGCACAGAGUCUGUGAGUCAGGAGUUCUGACAGGCACAAUGGUUGCAAGUUCCUUCUACCCUAACUUUGGGGCAUCACUUCUGCCGCAUUCUAUGGGUUACAAGCAAGUCACUCAGACCAGCCCAGUUCCAAGUGGAGGGGAGCUAGCCUCUGCCUCUUGAUGAGGAAGAGGCAAGGUGACAUUACUAAUGACCAUGCGGUAUGGAACAUAUUGUUGUAGCCAUCUUUGAAAGAUACAGUCUGCCCUGGGGGAUCACUGAAAGCUUUUAAGCAAGGGGAGUAAUAGGAUCAGACUAUUGGUUUAGAAAGAUCAUUGUGGCUGUAGUGAGAGAAUUGGUUGGAACAGACUAAGACUAGAACCAGAGAGAUUGGUAGGAGUUUGUCUGUAGUGAAGAUGGUAGUGUGGAAUCUAGACAGACUAGAAAGAUAUUUUAUAGGUGCAAUUACCAAGAGUUAGGACUGAUUGUUUGACAGUGAGGGGACAUCAAGGUUCAGGCUUAAAUAAUUGGUAACUGGUUCCAUUAACUGACAGGCACACAGGAGCAGGAUAGAUUUGGGGGAAGACAAUGGGCUCAUUUUUGGAUGUUUGCAUUUGGGGUUUCUGAAAAGCAUUCAAGAUCAAAGCAGAAUUUUCUAAUUGGUGACAUGGGCUUAUUUUCAGGAAAAAGAGAUACUGAUUUAAAAAUCAUCAAUGUGAAGUUGGUAAUAGAGAUUUUUUUUUGGGGGGGAUGAGAUUUACGAGAAAGAAUACAUGGAAUGAGAAAAAAUGGGGCUCAACAGAAUUCUGGGGAGAAUCAGAAUUUUAGGUUCAGAGAAAGGAGCUUAUAAACAAGGCUGAGGAAUGGCCAAAGAGGUAGGAGGGUGUUAGGGAUUUUGAGCUGAGGAGAUUAUAAUGGACUUUCUAUAUGAGUGCAAAAUGCCAUUGCAAGUGUCCUUACAAGAAAGAGGCAGAAGGAGAUUACAUGCAUGUAGAGA
RNAcentral lists this long non-coding RNA (1011 nucleotides) under Canis lupus familiaris (dog). Its description in RNAcentral is "lncRNA (ENSCAFG00845022812.1)". Lineage: Eukaryota; Metazoa; Chordata; Mammalia; Carnivora; Canidae. The record is from RNAcentral.